CUUAACACAUGCAAGAUCGAGCGCCGUAGCAAUACGGAGCGGCAGACGGGAGAGUUACACCUGGGAAUGUACCCUUUGGUUCGGAACAACACAGGGAAACUUGAGCUAAUACCGGAUACGCCCUUAGGGGGAAAGAUUUAUUGCCGAAGGAUCGGCCCGCGUCCGAUUAGCUAGUUGGUGAGGUAAAGGCUCACCAAGGCGACGAUCGGCAGCUGGUCUGAGAGGAUGAUCAGCCACACUGGGACUGAGACACGGCCCAUACUCCUACGGGAGGCAGCAGUGGG
Molecule: unclassified non-coding RNA, 284 nt
Filed under: uncultured bacterium
Lineage: Bacteria
Description: partial contains 16S ribosomal RNA and 16S-23S ribosomal RNA intergenic spacer region
Rfam family: Bacterial small subunit ribosomal RNA
Source: RNAcentral